This 446-nucleotide long non-coding RNA is filed under the name Elaeis guineensis (African oil palm). RNAcentral's name for it is "long non-coding RNA (EGUI_LNC017890)". The record is from RNAcentral. Lineage: Eukaryota; Viridiplantae; Streptophyta; Magnoliopsida; Arecales; Arecaceae.
GGGUUGAGUCCCGGGUCAGGUUUGAUACUAGUGUACGUUUGACCAGCACAAGGUCCAGGUCCCAGGCUGUUAUAGCAAGCACAAAUAUAGGGCACACACAGAUUCGUACAAUCACACAAAAUAGAGAAGAGAAAGAAAAACAAACACAGGAUUUACGUGGUUCGGCUGAAAAGCCUACGUCCACGGGCAAGACACGAGAGAAAAAUUCCACUAUGAUGAAAAGAGAGAUACAAUCACUCAAGAACUCUCCAAACCCUAGCCGCACUUUGAUUUCCCAAACCUCUCACAAAAACUGCCGAGAUUGGCAGAAAAUACAAUAUUUAUACUGGUCCGCUACCACCACAGACCUCCCAAAAUAUUUCAUUCAGGUCGCAACGCGGGCUUUUCAGAUUGGGUCAUAAUUCGAGCCCAUAAAAGAUAUCCAAAAUUCAAGCCACAUUAACACA